RNAcentral lists this transfer RNA (74 nucleotides) under Magnetovirga frankeli. RNAcentral describes it as "gamma proteobacterium SS-5 tRNA-Gln". It matches the Rfam family "tRNA". Rfam says of the family: Transfer RNA (tRNA) molecules are approximately 80 nucleotides in length. Lineage: Bacteria; Pseudomonadati; Pseudomonadota; Gammaproteobacteria; Chromatiales; Sedimenticolaceae. RNAcentral also lists the same sequence under 1 other name. The record is from RNAcentral.
UGGGGACUCGUCUAAUGGUAGGACAGCAGACUCUGACUCUGUAUGUGGGGGUUCGACUCCCUCGUCCCCAGCCA